Molecule: ribosomal RNA, 621 nt
Filed under: Colletotrichum gloeosporioides
Lineage: Eukaryota; Fungi; Ascomycota; Sordariomycetes; Glomerellales; Glomerellaceae
Description: LSU rRNA
Rfam family: Eukaryotic large subunit ribosomal RNA
Source: RNAcentral
AUAUCAAUAAGCGGAGGAAAAGAAACCAACAGGGAUUGCCCCAGUAACGGCGAGUGAAGCGGCAACAGCUCAAAUUUGAAAUCUGGCCCUAGGCCCGAGUUGUAAUUUGCAGAGGAUGCUUUUGGUGCGGUGCCUUCCAAGUUCCCUAGAACGGGACGCCAGAGAGGGUGAGAGCCCCGUACAGUUGGACACCAAGCCUUUGUAAAGCUCCUUCGACGAGUCGAGUAGUUUGGGAAUGCUGCUCAAAAUGGGAGGUAUAUUUCUUCUAAAGCUAAAUACCGGCCAGAGACCGAUAGCGCACAAGUAGAGUGAUCGAAAGAUGAAAAGCACUUUGAAAAGAGGGUUAAACAGCACGUGAAAUUGUUAAAAGGGAAGCGCUUGUGACCAGACUUGCGUCCGGUGAAUCACCCAGCUCUCGCGGCUGGGGCACUUCGCCGGCUCAGGCCAGCAUCAGCUCGCUGUCGGGGACAAAAGCUUCAGGAACGUAGCUCUCUUCGGGGAGUGUUAUAGCCUGUUGCAUAAUACCCUUCGGCGGGCUGAGGUACGCGCUCCGCAAGGAUGCUGGCAUAAUGGUCAUCAGCGACCCGUCUUGAAACACGGACCAAGGAGUCAACCUUAUGU